GACCCCACCCUCGGGCCCAGCCUGGUCGUCUCUUACAUUGAGGCUACAAACCUGAAAAUUAACUGGGAGAUAAUUGGUUCAUUCACAUAACCAACACUGUGGGCACAAUGGUACACCUGCCCUCAAAGUGUACAUAUACAUAACACACAUUUAAACAUGCUAUAUACAGCAUAUGUAUAAACCUGCACCCUUACAUAUAAAUAACAUACAAAUAUUAAUCACUGUCCAUCUUGAAUACAUAAUAGAAAGACUCAUAUUGUAUGGAACAAAACUGUGAUUAAACCUGGAUGUUCUCCUACAGAUACCACCAAGCCUCCUCCCAGAAGGUAACAAGAUAAACAGUUGUGCAGAGGAUGUGUGGCGUCCCAGACAAUCUUACGGACCCUACUCAAGCAAUGCUUACAUGCCAUGUCUUGGAUAGAAGGGAGUGAACUGCCAAUAAUCUGUUCUGCCAUCUUCACCACUCCCUGCAUCGCCUUCCUGUCUGAAGCAGGGAUGCUUCCAAACCAGACUGUGAUGCUGUACGAGAGGCUGCUCUCGAUCGUCCCUCUGUAGAAAAUGGUCAGGACAGGGGAAGGGAGAUGUGCUUUUCUCAUGUGAUGCAGAAAAGGCAGUCACUGCUGUGCCUGCUUCACCAGCGUCUCACUGUUGAGUGGCCAGGCUAGUCUACUCAUUAGCUGCACACCCAGGAAUUUCAUCCUGGUGACCAUCUCCACAGGGGAAUCAUUAAUGCACAGAGAAGUGUGGGCUGUGCCUGCCUUUUCUGAAAUCGACAAUGAUCUCUCCGGUUUUUCCAGUGAUUAAAAUUAGGCUGUUUUUCUUACACCAGUUCACCAAAUUGUCAACCUCCUUGGGGUAAGCACCUCAUUGUCAUCUUGAAUAAGGGCUACUAUUGUUGUAUCUUGGGAAAAUAAACUGACCCCCUCCUCUUUGUGGCAGCCUCUGAAAUACUGGAAUACGGCUAUCAUAUCACCCCUAGUUCUCCUUUUCUCUAGACUGGCCAAACCCAAAUCCUGCAACCGUUCUUCAUACUUUAAACAUCUUAGUUGCUCUUCUUUGCACUUUUCCGAAAGUCUAAGCAGGUGGGCGAUUACAGAUGCUCAUGGAAGUGGACAGAGCUGCUGUAACUUCAAUCACUAAACAAAUGGCUGCAAGUCAAGGACUCCCUAAAAAUAGGGAAACUACCAAGGUCAAAGUUGUCCUGCAACCCAUCUCCAAAACUAGCCCAACUGGGUAGAAAAAUUGCUCAACGGCCAGCCAGCAUUUCAACUCAGUCCCCAAACUUCCCCCUCGUGGACACGGUCUGGCUUUUCAAGGAAAGAAAAUGACACCAUUUGUAUUUUUGGAUCACCCUAAAGUUAUAUUCGGUCUGUUAAAGUCUUGCAAAUUCGGGAGAUAAAAGUGGGAACUGCUGAAUCCAAACUGAGCAUCUCACCCCACUGAGGAAUCUCCUGCCCUGGAAAUACUCAACUGCUUUUUAAUCAAACCUUUAUUAGGCUCAAAGACGGGAAUGUGGAGUUAGGUGUAUGAAAAAGCAUAAAAAUAUUGCAAAAGUAAAA
Crotalus tigris (Tiger rattlesnake) is the source of this 1559-nucleotide long non-coding RNA. RefSeq lists it as uncharacterized. The record is from RefSeq and is a predicted model, not a curated record. Lineage: Eukaryota; Metazoa; Chordata; Lepidosauria; Squamata; Viperidae. The transcript has 2 exons.